RNAcentral lists this ribosomal RNA (409 nucleotides) under uncultured microorganism. Its description in RNAcentral is "bacterial SSU rRNA". It matches the Rfam family "Bacterial small subunit ribosomal RNA", at positions 509 to 916 of the family's 1533-position model. The record is from RNAcentral.
CAGCCGCCGCGGUAAUACGUAGGGGGCGAGCGUUGUCCGGAAUUAUUGGGCGUAAAGCGCGCGCAGGCGGUCCUUUAAGUCUGAUGUGAAAGCCCACGGCUCAACCGUGGAGGGUCAUUGGAAACUGGGGGACUUGAGUGCAGGAGAGGAGAGCGGAAUUCCACGUGUAGCGGUGAAAUGCGUAGAGAUGUGGAGGAACACCAGUGGCGAAGGCGGCUCUCUGGCCUGUAACUGACGCUGAGGCGCGAAAGCGUGGGGAGCAAACAGGAUUAGAUACCCUGGUAGUACACGCCGUAAACGAUGAGUGCUAAGUGUUAGAGGGGUCACACCCUUUAGUGCUGCAGCUAACGCGAUAAGCACUCCGCCUGGGGAGUACGGCCGCAAGGCUGAAACUUAAAGGAAUUGGGGG